RNAcentral lists this small RNA (144 nucleotides) under Drosophila erecta. RNAcentral describes it as "GG26342". The record is from RNAcentral. Lineage: Eukaryota; Metazoa; Arthropoda; Insecta; Diptera; Drosophilidae.
GGAAAGGGGAAAGGGGGCAUUUCUGAUGGCCGAGACAGCCAGCUACGAGUAUGGCUUUAAGCAGCGACUGGCCAACGCACAUUGCAAAAUAAUUUGUGUAAAUCAUUGGCGCUCGCUGCCAGUGCAUUAUAUAAGGCAAAUACC